GAGGCUUCGGCUGAGCGGAUAGUGUUCCUAAUCAGACUUCCAAGAAAAUCCUCUAAGCUUCAGACAUGUGGUGCCCGUACCACAAACCGACACAGGUAGUCGAGGAGAGAAUCCUAAGGUGCUCGAGUGAUCCGUGGCCAAGGAACUAGGCAAAUUGAACCUGUAACUUCGGGAUAAAGGUUCCCCUGUUUAUCAAUGGGGGCGCAGAGAAAUGGCCCUGGCGACUGUUUAACAAAAACACAAGGCUUUGCGAAAUUGAAAGAUGAAGUAUAAGGCCUGACACCUGCCCGGUGCCGGAAGGUUAAGAGGGGGAGUCAUUCUCAGCAAUGGGAAGAAGCUCUGAAUCGAAGCCCCGGUAAACGGCGGCCGUAACGAUAACGGUCCUAAGGUAGCGAAAUUCCUUGUCGGGUAAGUUCCGACCUGCACGAAUGGUGUAACGAUCUGGGCACUGUCUCAGCCACGAGCUCGGUGAAAUUGUAGUUCCGGUGAAGAUGCCGGAUACCCGCAACGGGACGGAAAGACCCCGUGAACCUUUACUAUAGCUUAACAUUGAUUUUGGGUAAGUGAUGUGUAGGAUAGGUCGGAGACUGUGAACCGGUUUCGCCAGGAAUCGGGGAGUCAACGUUGAAAUACGACCCUUCAUUUACCUGGAAUCUAAUCCGUCAACCGACGGAGACAUUGUUUGGUGGGUAGUUUGACUGGGGUGGUCGCCUCCAAAAAAGUAACGGAGGCUCCUCAAGGUGCCCUCAGCACGAUUGGUAACCGUGCGGAGAGUGUAAUGGCACAAGGGCGCUUGACUGUGAGACUGACAAGUCGAUCAGGUACGAAAGUAGAGCAUAGUGAUCCGGUGGUUCCGUAUGGAAGGGCCAUCGCUCAAAGGAUAAAAGGUACUCCGGGGAUAACAGGCUGAUCGCCGCCAAGAGCUCAUAUCGACGCGGCGGUUUGGCACCUCGAUGUCGGCUCGUCACAUCCUGGGGCUGAAGAAGGUCCCAAGGGUUCGGCUGUUCGCCGAUUAAAGUGGCACGCGAGCUGGGUUCAGAACGUCGUGAGACAGUUCGGUCCCUAUCUGUUGUGGGCGCUGGAGAUUUGAGAGAAACUGAUACUAGUACGAGAGGACCGUGUUGGACAGACCGCUAGUGUACCUGUUGUGGCGCCAGCUGCAUCGCAGGGUAGCUAUGUUUGGAACAGAUAAGCACUGAAAGCAUCUAAGUGCGAAGCUCGUCUCAAGAUGAGAUCUCCCUUAAGGGUCGUUGUAGACUACGACGUUGAUAGGCUGCAGGUGUAAAGGUGGCAACAUCAAAGCUGAGCAGUACUAAUUACCCGU
Molecule: ribosomal RNA, 1324 nt
Filed under: metagenome
Description: bacterial LSU rRNA
Rfam family: Bacterial large subunit ribosomal RNA
Source: RNAcentral